This 2338-nucleotide long non-coding RNA is filed under the name Mus musculus (house mouse). RNAcentral's name for it is "long non-coding RNA chr14:48188269-48190607". The record is from RNAcentral. Lineage: Eukaryota; Metazoa; Chordata; Mammalia; Rodentia; Muridae.
UUUUUUUUUUUUUUUUUUUUUUUUUGAGACAAGGUUUGUCUGUGUAGCCCUGGCUGUCCUGGAACUCACUCUGUAGACCAGGCUGGCCUCGAACUCAGAAAUUCACCUGCCUCUGCCUCCCAAGUGCUGGGACUAAAGGCAUGCGCCACCACACCCGGCCCCUGGAGAUGGUUUCUAAUAAUGUCUUUUAAGGUUUUACUUUCAUAGAUGGAACUUUAAACAUCUGAGUUCUAUUUUGCAUAGGUCGUAAGCUAUAGGAGGAUUUUGAUUUAGUGUACAUCACAAGGCGUCUCUGUGCUUUCUUGCAUUAGCUUGUAACACUUUCUUAGUCUGCAUUAGCUUGUAACACUUUCUUAGUCAUGUUGAACAUGACCGCAACUCUUAGGACCCACGUGGGCAGUGCUCUCCCUGUCCAUGGUCUGUUCUCACUGUCUCAGAGCCACACUGCCGUGAGCAGUCCUCAGCUCUGGUGAGCUAAGUCCCCUCACCUGCUUCUCCCAGGGUCCUUAACUGUUCUGGCUUUGUUUCUCUUAAGUUGACAGAUGCCACCAAAAGACACUUUGAAAAUUUGAUAGGGAUUACAUGUAAUUGGUAGAUUAAUUGGAGGUAAGGAUUAUCUCAUUGAAUCUGCCUGUUUCAACAGGAUCUCCACUUAGGUUGUUUUUUUAUGAUAUGGUUUGUUUCUGUAAAGACCUUCAAUAGCUUCAAAAAUUAGAAUUUGAUUACCAAAGGUUACAAUAGCUGACAGAGCACUCCUGUGUUGUAUAGUUUCUGUUGGUAAAGGAAAUGCCAUUUCUGUAUGUAUGUGUGUUUGUGUGUUGUGUGGUGUGUAUGUACAUAUGUGUGUAUGUAUAGUUACUGAUUCCUUUUUUACUCCUGUUUUUCUCAAAUAAGCAAAGUUUUUCUUUACAUUAUGAAUUUACUAUGUUACAGAUAAUACAUUAAACAAAAUGUAUUUCAUUUAAUGAUCUGGGUCUACAAAUUAUGGUAUUUGUAUUCCUAAUAUGUAUACUUUUGCUAACAUAUUUUACUUAUAUUCAAAGAAGUAGAUUUUUUUUACUUCACUCUUUGUUUUAAAUAUCUUUUCUUAAAUUUUACUAAUUUCUGCUCAUAUCGCUUCCUGACAUAAUUCUCUAAGCAAACAGAAUAUUAUUAAAGUUGUAUGUGAGAGCCAAGAGUCUCUGUGUUGCUGACUGCCCACAGUCUUUCUCAUGAGAGUGGUCAUGUGAUAUGGUUGAGUCAUCUGAGCGUCUGUCCCUACCCACAUACCCAUAUUUGGAAACUGAGCACGGCCCUUCUGCUUGGUCCCUGAUGUUCCCUUCUGUUUUUGUUUAGGCAGGAGGCAUUUCAGCCGGGCUUCUUGUAAUCGCCUUACAUCGGGGCAUAAGCAGAGUCAGCCUAAAGGACCUAGAACCGUGGGGUUGGUCCUGCUAUCGUGGAUGAGAGUUAAUUAAAAAUUAAAGCUUAAUUAAAAAUCAUUACUGCUGGGAAAAAUCAAGAAGGGAGAUUUUGUGUAGGAUAAUACAUUUAUAAAAUUACUCUGCCCCCCCCCACACACAUACACACACUGUUGAUUUCUCAGGGCAUGUGCAACAGUGAACUGGCAUUUCUAACAAGUAUGGGUGGCAUCUCAUACAAAUAACUAUACUGGCCACUGCUCCAGGAUCCAGGGACUGAGCCCGACUGCAAGUUCUGCCUAGGCUUGUUUGGGUAACUGUGAUGACUCCUUCCUGAAGUUCACCUUUGAAGGAACUCUGCCUUGCAUGGGUGGUGGCAUUGAGUAGACUCACUUGGUAGAUGAGAGGGUAGUACCGAGCUGCCAUUUCUGUCAGUCAUCGGCCAAGUGGUAACGCAGGAUUCUUUUAGAUGAAGGAUGGUUUGUAGCCCUGUGCUCUAUCUGAAUCUCCUCUUGCUCUGUAGAGUGAAUUUCACAUGUAUUCAGCCAUCAUUUUCAAAGGCCUCCCAUACAGAUGUUAACUUCCAGGGAGGAAGGAAAAAACAAUUUCCUUAUAUGUUUGAUUGAGUUGUGUUGGUAGGCUCCACCUAAAGCCAUUGUUUGCAUUGCCUGCAGGUGCAGUAAAUCAUUGCUUUUGCACUGCAAGCUUCUCCCAGGGCUGCCUAGUUGCUCUGGGUUUAUGGGGAGGCAACAAGGGAAAUUCAGUUUUAGUUAGUUUACUUUUUGUGGUGUUGAGAAUUAUACCAUGAUCUUCAUGCAAGUGCUCUGUCACUGAGCUAAUGUCAAGGGGUGUUUAACCAAGAGUCCAGCUUGCAAAUAGUGUACAGCAAUCUCAUCUGCCUGCAAUCAGUUCAUAUUUUUUUCUACAGAGGUUAAAGUAAC